GGGGAGCGUGGGGGGCGUGGCCUCGGCGCGUCGCCCCGCCCCGCGCAGCCUGGACGUCCAGGGAACCUCCCUCCUUCCAAGGGCAGAGGAGCACUUGAUCUGUGGAGUCUGCGGCUCUGCUCCCUAAGCUUCCUACCCUGCACCCUCGGGGGGUGCAGAUUUCCCACCUGAAACGCUUGAUUUUGCUAGGAUUUGUAAGCUGCAAGGGAAAAACAAAGAGACACAGAAGAAAGGAAACAUCACAUAGAAGAAUAGAACAGAAAGAGAAGAACAAACAACACAAAGAAUAAUAAAAUGAAGAACUAAGCUUUGGCUCUCAGAAAAGUCCUCAUGUGUCUGUUUGUCUGUCCAGUAGUUCACCUACUCUGAAUCCUCUUCAGUUUCUCUGACCUGCUGAAGGCUUGCCAUUCAUCAGUACCCUAGGUGAGAUCCUGACAUGUUGGAGUCUCCAGUCACUUUCAACAAACUCUUCACUGUAUUCACUUGACUAGUUAACCGUGUCCAACUAUUGUUACAUUACCUGUCAACCUCAAGUGCUCAACUAAGACAAAGCAAAGUGCUUCGAGCACUAACUGGGGAGAAAGGAAAGACCAACAGAUACUUUUGGAGCUACAGCAGUGGCGGCUGUGUUGCUAGAUUCCUGAGCACCAUUACAUUCACCUUAAUGUUUAGGGGAGGAGGAAGAAGACGAAGGAAGGAGGAGGAGGAAGAGGAAGAAACCAGGACAAAAAGGAAAAACAGCUUCUACCUACUGAGUGGCACAAGACUGUUUCUUUUGCGGUCAAUUCUGAGUUCGAGGAAGUCAGUCAAUUAAUUGUUCCCAGAGGAAAAAAAAAUCCAAGCUACCCUCUCAUCCCCACCCCCAAAAUAGGUGGAACAAUUGAAACCAUGAAGAAUAUAGUACUUAAUAUUUAUGUGAAAGAUUUGAACCAUUCUUGGUUGCCUUUGAAAGCACACAGAAACAAUUCCUUUUAAGGAAAAUUGGACAAUAUCAACAGAGAAUCAUAGUUAAGCCAUUGUAGACAUUAUUUUUAAGACUCUGAGCUACUGUUUUUGCACCAGAAGAUACAUGCUCUUUGAGAAGAGAGCAGCUACAGU
Peromyscus maniculatus bairdii (prairie deer mouse) is the source of this 1098-nucleotide non-coding RNA. Lineage: Eukaryota; Metazoa; Chordata; Mammalia; Rodentia; Cricetidae. The record is from RefSeq and is a predicted model, not a curated record.